CCAAAUAAUGCAGCGGGCCNUUCGGGGUAUUUGUUGUUAAAGUGGGCUUNGGCUCACGCUUUGAGAUAGGUUUGCGUCCGAUUAGUUAGUUGGUAGGGUAAUUGCCUACCAAGGCGAAGAUCGGUAGCUGGUCUGAGAGGAUGAUCAGCCACACUGGAAUUGAGAUACGGUCCAGACUCCUACGGGAGGCAGCAGUAAGGAAUUUUGCACAAUGGGCGAAAGCCUGAUGCAGCAACGCCGCGUGAUUGAUGAAGUUUUUAGGAAUGUAAAAAUCUGUCGUAAGGGAAGAAAUGUUUCAGAUAUUAAUACUAUCUGUUAUUGACGGUACCUUACAAGAAAGCACCGGCUAACUUCGUGCCAGCAGCCGCGGUAAUACGAGGGGUGCUAGCGUUGUCCGGAUUUACUGGGCGUAAAGGGGUACGUAGGCGUUUUAACAAGUUAUGUGUUAAAUACUUUAGCUUAACUAAAGAACUGCACAUAAAACUGUUAGAAUAGAGUUUGAGAGAGGAACGCAGAAUUCAUGGUGGAGCGGUGACAUGCGUAGAUAUCAUGAGGAAAGUCAAAUGCGAAGGCAGCCUUCUGGCUCAAAACUGACGCUGAGGUACGAAAGCGUGGGGAGCGAACAGGAUUAGAUACCCUGGUAGUCCACGCCGUAAACGAUGAGUA
This 666-nucleotide ribosomal RNA is filed under the name uncultured bacterium. Its description in RNAcentral is "bacterial SSU rRNA". It matches the Rfam family "Bacterial small subunit ribosomal RNA", at positions 169 to 815 of the family's 1533-position model. The record is from RNAcentral.